This 253-nucleotide ribosomal RNA is filed under the name uncultured bacterium. Its description in RNAcentral is "partial 16S ribosomal RNA". It matches the Rfam family "Bacterial small subunit ribosomal RNA", at positions 793 to 1055 of the family's 1533-position model. The record is from RNAcentral.
GUCCACACGGUAAACGAUGAAUACUCGCUGUUUGCGAUAUACAGCAAGCGGCCAAGCGAAAGCGUUAAGUAUUCCACCUGGGGAGUACGCCGGCAACGGUGAAACUCAAAGGAAUUGACGGGGCCGCACAAGCGGAGGAACAUGUGGUUUAAUUCGAUGAUACGCGAGGAACCUUACCCGGGCGUUAAUUAGCAGAUGAAUUACGUGAAAGCCGUAGCGCAAGGCAUCUGUGAAGGUGCUGCAUGGUUGUCGU